This 253-nucleotide ribosomal RNA is filed under the name uncultured bacterium. RNAcentral describes it as "partial 16S ribosomal RNA". It matches the Rfam family "Bacterial small subunit ribosomal RNA", at positions 524 to 776 of the family's 1533-position model. The record is from RNAcentral.
UACGUAGGGUGCAAGCGUUAAUCGGAAUUACUGGGCGUAAAGCGUGCGCAGGCGGUUAUGUAAGACAGGUGUGAAAUCCCCGGGCUUAACCUGGGAACUGCAUUUGUGACUGCAUAGCUAGAGUACGGUAGAGGGGGAUGGAGUUCCGCGUGUAGCAGUGAAAUGCGUAGAUAUGCGGAGGAACACCGAUGGCGAAGGCAAUCCCCUGGACCUGUACUGACGCUCAUGCACGAAAGCGUGGGGAGCAAACAGG